UACGGGGGGGGCAAGCGUUGUUCGGAAUUACUGGGCGUAAAGGGCUUGUAGGUGGCCAACUAAGUCAGACGUGAAAUCCCUCGGCUUAACCGGGGAACUGCGUCUGAUACUGGAUGGCUGGAGUGUGGGAGAGGGAUGCGGAAUUCCAGGUGUAGUGGUGAAAUGCGUAGAUAUCGGGAGGAACACCAGUGGCGAAGGCGACUUCCUGGCCUGUUCUUGACGCUGAGGCGCGAAAGCUAGGGUAGCAAACGGG
This 253-nucleotide ribosomal RNA is filed under the name uncultured bacterium. RNAcentral describes it as "partial 16S ribosomal RNA". It matches the Rfam family "Bacterial small subunit ribosomal RNA", at positions 524 to 776 of the family's 1533-position model. The record is from RNAcentral.